RNAcentral lists this ribosomal RNA (481 nucleotides) under uncultured bacterium. Its description in RNAcentral is "partial 16S ribosomal RNA". It matches the Rfam family "Bacterial small subunit ribosomal RNA", at positions 28 to 507 of the family's 1533-position model. The record is from RNAcentral.
GAUGAACGCUGGCGGCGUGCUUAACACAUGCAAGUCGAACGAAGCAUUUGCGACAGAUUUUUUCGGAAUGAAGUUGCUUAUGACUGAGUGGCGGACGGGUGAGUAACGCGUGGGUAACCUGCCUUGUACUGGGGGAUAGCAGCUGGAAACGGCUGGUAAUACCGCAUAAGCGCACAAUGUUGCAUGACAUGGUGUGAAAAACUCCGGUGGUAUAAGAUGGACCCGCGUCUGAUUAGCUAGUUGGUGAGAUAACAGCCCACCAAGGCGACGAUCAGUGGCCGACCUGAGAGGGUGACCGGCCACAUUGGGACUGAGACACGGCCCAGACUCCUACGGGAGGCAGCAGUGGGGAAUAUUACACAAUGGAGGAAACUCUGAUGCAGCGACGCCGCGUGAGUGAAGAAGUAAUUCGUUAUGUAAAGCUCUAUCAGCAGGGAAGAUAGUGACGGUACCUGACGAAGAAGCUCCGGCUAAAUACGUG